AUUGAACGCCGGCGGCAUGCCUUACACAUGCAAGUCGAACGGCAGCGCGGACUUCGGUCUGGCGGCGAGUGGCGAACGGGUGAGUAAUACAUCGGAACGUACCCUGUUGUGGGGGAUAACUAGUCGAAAGAUUAGCUAAUACCGCAUACGACCUGAGGGUGAAAGUGGGGGACCGCAAGGCCUCACGCAGCAGGAGCGGCCGAUGUCUGAUUAGCUAGUUGGUGGGGUGAAGGCCCACCAAGGCGACGAUCAGUAGCUGGUCGGCGAUGACGAUCAGCCACACUGGGACUGAGACACGGCCCAGACUCCUACGGGAGGCAGCAGUGGGGAAUUUUGGACAAUGGGGGCAACCCUGAUCCAGCAAUGCCGCGUGUGUGAAGAAGGCCUUCGGGUUGUAAAGCACUUUUGUCCGGAAAGAAAUCGCGCUGGUUAAUACCUGGCGUGGAUGACGGUACCGGAAGAAUAAGCACCGGCUAACUACGUGCCAGCCGCCGCUGUAA
This 500-nucleotide ribosomal RNA is filed under the name uncultured bacterium. Its description in RNAcentral is "partial 16S ribosomal RNA". It matches the Rfam family "Bacterial small subunit ribosomal RNA", at positions 30 to 523 of the family's 1533-position model. The record is from RNAcentral.